AUUGAACGCUGGCGGCAGGCCUAGCACAUGCAAGUCGAGCGGAUGAAGGGAGCUUGCUCCUGGAUUCAGCGGCGGACGGGUGAGUAAUGCCUAGGAAUCUGCCUGGUAGUGGGGGAUAACGUCCGGAAACGGGCGCUAAUACCGCAUACGUCCUGAGGGAGAAAGUGGGGGAUCUUCGGACCUCACGCUCUCAGAUGAGCCUAGGUCGGAUUAGCUAGUUGGUGGGGUAAAGGCCUACCAAGGCGACGAUCCGUAACUGGUCUGAGAGGAUGAUCAGUCACACUGGAACUGAGACACGGUCCAGACUACUACGGGAGGCAGCAGUGGCGAAUAUUGGACAGUGGGCGAAAGCCUUAUCCAGCCAUGCCGCGUGUGUGAAGAAGGUCUUCGGAUUGUAAAGCACUUUUAGUUGGGGUGAAGGGCAGUAAGUUAAUACCUUGCUGUUUUGACGUUACUAACAGAAUAAGCACCGGCUAACUUCGUG
This 484-nucleotide ribosomal RNA is filed under the name uncultured bacterium. RNAcentral describes it as "partial 16S ribosomal RNA". It matches the Rfam family "Bacterial small subunit ribosomal RNA", at positions 30 to 507 of the family's 1533-position model. The record is from RNAcentral.